RNAcentral lists this ribosomal RNA (490 nucleotides) under uncultured archaeon. RNAcentral describes it as "bacterial SSU rRNA". It matches the Rfam family "Archaeal small subunit ribosomal RNA", at positions 122 to 594 of the family's 1478-position model. The record is from RNAcentral.
AGGGACAAACCCGGGAAACUGGGGCUAAUACCCGAUAGGCGAGGGCGCCUGGAAUGGUUCUUCACCCAAAAGGCUUUGGAAGCAUGCUUUUCAAAGUCGCCUAGGGAUGGGGCCGCGUCCGAUCAGGUUGUUGGUGAGGUAACGGCUCACCAAGCCUAUAACCGGUACGGGCCGUGAGAGCGGUAGCCCGGAGAUGGGCACUGAUACAAGGGCCCAUGCCCUACGGGGCGCACCAGUCUCUAAAACUCCGCAAUGCACGAAAGUGUGACUGGGCUACCCCGAGUGCCGUCCGCUGACGAUGGAUUUUCCUCUGUAUAACUAACCGGGGGAAUAAGGAGAGGGCAACACUGGUGUCAGCCGACGAGGAUAAUACCAGCUCUCCGAGUGGUAGGGAUGAUUAUUGGGCUUAAAGCGUCCGUAGCCGGUUUAGCAAGUCUCCUCUUAAAUACAGCGACCUAAUCGUUGAGCCGUGGGAUAUACUACUGGGCUA